GUUGUUGCAGUUAAAAAGCUCGUAGUUGGAUUUCUAGUCGAUUUACCUGGUCCGCCGCACCUAGUGCGCGUGAGUACCAAAGUUAAUCGUCUAUCCUAGGUGUUUUCAGGGCUCCGGCCCUGUCUCUACCUCCUUUUACUUUGAAAAAAUUAUAGUGUUUAAAGCAAGCUUGCGCGAUGAAUACAUUAGCAUGGAAUAAUAACAUAGGACUCGUUGACCUAUUUUGUUGGUUUCUAGGACUCGAGUAAUGAUUGAUAGGGAUAGUUGGGGGUGCUAGUAUUACGCGGCCAGAGGUGAAAUUCUUGGAUUCGCGCAAGACUAACUUAUGCGAAAGCAUUCACCAAGGAUGUCUUCUUUAAUCAAGAACGAAAGUUGGGGGAUCGAAGACGAUCAGAUACCGUCGUAGUCUCAACCAUAAACUAUACCGACUAAGGAUGAGUGACCGUUGCAUUUUCGACUUCAUUCGCACUUUAUGAGAAAUCAAAGUCUUUGGGUUCCGGGGGGAGUAUGGUCGCAAGGCUGAGACUUAAAGGAAUUGACGGAAGGGCACCACCACGAGUGGAGCCUGCGGCUUAAUUUGACUCUACACGGGAAAACUUAC
RNAcentral lists this ribosomal RNA (601 nucleotides) under uncultured marine eukaryote. RNAcentral's name for it is "bacterial SSU rRNA". It matches the Rfam family "Eukaryotic small subunit ribosomal RNA", at positions 609 to 1218 of the family's 1831-position model. The record is from RNAcentral.